AUACGGAGGGGGCUAGCGUUGUUCGGAAUUACUGGGCGUAAAGCGCACGUAGGCGGAUUAAAAAGUUAGAGGUGAAAUCCCAGGGCUUAACCCUGGAACUGCCUUUAAAACUAGUAGUCUAGAGUUCGAGAGAGGUGAGUGGAAUUCCAAGUGUAGAGGUGAAAUUCGUAGAUAUUUGGAGGAACACCAGUGGCGAAGGCGGCUCACUGGCUCGAUACUGACGCUGAGGUGCGAAAGCGUGGGGAGCAAACAGGAUUAGAUACCCUUGUAGUCC
RNAcentral lists this ribosomal RNA (274 nucleotides) under uncultured bacterium. RNAcentral describes it as "partial 16S ribosomal RNA". It matches the Rfam family "Bacterial small subunit ribosomal RNA", at positions 523 to 796 of the family's 1533-position model. The record is from RNAcentral.